AGAACGAACGCUGGCGGCACGCCUAACACAUGCAAGUCGAGCGCCCAGCAAUGGGAGCGGCGGACGGGUGAGUAACACGUGGGAAUAUGCCUUUCGGUACGGAACAACUCAGGGAAACUUGAGCUAAUGCCGUAUACGCCCUUACGGGGAAAGAUUUAUCGCCGAAAGAUUAGCCCGCGUCUGAUUAGCUAGUUGGUGGGGUAAUGGCUCACCAAGGCUUCGAUCAGUAGCUGGUUUGAGAGAACGACCAGCCACACUGGGACUGAGACACGGCCCAGACUCCUACGGGAGGCAGCAGUGGGGAAUCUUGGACAAUGGGGAAACCCUGAUCCAGCGAUGCCGCGUGAGUGAUGAAGGCCUUCGGGUUGUAAAACUCUUUCGACGGGGACGAUAAUGACGGUACCCGUAGAAGAAGCUCGGCUAACUUCGCGCCAGCAGCCGC
RNAcentral lists this ribosomal RNA (442 nucleotides) under uncultured bacterium. RNAcentral describes it as "SSU rRNA". It matches the Rfam family "Bacterial small subunit ribosomal RNA", at positions 26 to 518 of the family's 1533-position model. The record is from RNAcentral.